AAACUCAUACUCGCACCCAUUUUUUAUGAAAAAAUUUCUUCCAAACCCAUAGUUUACAAAAUUAGGUUUCUGUCUUUCUUAUAUUUUUCUUCUUCUUCUUUAAUUCAUUUUCUUCUUCCUCUCCGUUCUACUGUGUGUUCCCGAUGAGCAAAAUUAUCCAUCGGGAAAAACCUAAAAAUCAAAUCAGUGAAUAUGAAUUGUUGUUGGUGACUGAGCAAUUGAGAAGAAUUUGUUAUUGGGUUUCUGUUGCAAUUACCAGUUCUUGAGCAAUUGAGAAGAAACUAAACAGUGGAGAAGACAAAGUCUUCAGGAUUUGGCUAAGGAGCUCUUCACGAUCCAGGUAAGGAGUUAAUCUUUCCAAUCUUUCCUUCGUAUAAUUAUCUCCUCAAUCUCUCUAUCUAUCUACCCUCCCUUCACAGCAGAAGAACUCUAUGCGAUUUGAAAAUUAGGGCACAUUUUGUUUGCUUUGUGUUUGUAAAGUUCGUGGUUCUUAUCGAAAUUGACCCAAAGUUUCUCUACAUGUUUGUUUGCCAACUAAGUUCUCUGUUCAAAACUUGAGUCAAAUGAUUGAGAAAUGUUUCAUUUUUUAUCAGAAAUUUUUAGAUGCAUUUUGUUUGAUAUAUACAUCUUCCAAACUGAUCUUAUUUUGAUCGAAUUGAUGGAUAUCAUUUAGUAAUUCGUUUUACUGUGUUAAUUUUUGUUUCAUAUAAUUUUUUUGAGCAAGAGGAGGAAAACGAAAUGGGAUUUACACGGAAGAAUUCUGGCUACUAAAAUGAUGGCUUUGCUGAAUGCUGAAGAUAAUGAGUAUCUGGAUGGGGUGGAACCAUCAUUAGAAUUUGUGAUGACUUCUACUGACAUAACAACCACUGUUGCUCCUGCAACUCUUUUAGAAUGCAACAAUGAAAAAGGAUUUUCAUCAAAAAAACAUUGAUUCAAUCUUCAUUGUGUGGCGUUCUACUAAAAAGGGUCAUAGAGGAUGAGGUUACAUUGGAGAGAAAGAUAAGUCUAUCUCUGGUAUAUUGCUUUUGUUUAAAUUACGGGGUUCGGAUUUUUCGUGUCAACAAUGAGCAAAGCCAUUUUAGUGCUGACAUUAGCAUAUUAAGGGGUUAGUGGUGUUUUUUCGGGAGUUAAUUGGGGAGAGGAAGUUUGGAUUGAGAUUGGGUUCAUGUUUGGUGAAAGUCAGUGGAAAUAGGCAUGCUACUGCCAAGGUUUCGAAGUGGUCUCAGUUGAGAGCAACAAACAAAAAUUUGUAGCUGCGAUUGCACAAUUUUCUUGCCUGUUAUAGCCACUGCUCGACGGCUGUGUAGGAGGGGUAUUACGCAAUGGCCAAUAGAUGUUUUUGAUAACCACAGGAAGAGAAGAUAUGUGCAUAGAUUGGUUAGCUUUGGGUCUGUUUGUGCCGAUAAGCCAGCCAAGAAAAGGUAGCUUUGGUCGUUUUUUUAUGCGAAAAGGUUGCAGAAAUAACAACCUGGUGGCACUAGUUUCGGAUGUCGGAUGUUGAAAUUAAAACUGGGAAUCCUAAAGCUUCACUGAAUCAUAAAGUGGUACAAGUCAGAAGAUAAAAUUGGUGGCGGGAUAUACGAGUUUCCAGUCACGCUUUUGAUCAAAUUACAAUUUAUUUGGAUAGAACUUGAACUCAAUUGCAAAUAGUGGAAUUUGUUUUACAUUAGGAAAGUAUGUUAGUAUUUGUAUAUUUGAAUAAUAUGUUAUGAGCUAUGGAA
Molecule: long non-coding RNA, 1721 nt
Organism: Papaver somniferum (opium poppy)
Lineage: Eukaryota; Viridiplantae; Streptophyta; Magnoliopsida; Ranunculales; Papaveraceae
Exons: 2
Source: RefSeq, a predicted model, not a curated record